Molecule: long non-coding RNA, 150 nt
Organism: Myxocyprinus asiaticus (Chinese sucker)
Lineage: Eukaryota; Metazoa; Chordata; Actinopteri; Cypriniformes; Catostomidae
Exons: 3
Source: RefSeq, a predicted model, not a curated record
CUGAAAUGCCUUUUAUACACCAAUCAGUUUCCUGGAUUUAAAUUGAGGCCUAUGUGUGUGUUAUACCUGCUCCAGGGCCCUGGAGACUGUAGUCUUAUGUAGUCUCCACGGGGCAGGUGCAGUAGCUGGUAGAUGAUCUGUCCAUUAGGU